This 647-nucleotide unclassified non-coding RNA is filed under the name uncultured Prochlorococcus sp. Its description in RNAcentral is "partial 16S-23S ribosomal RNA intergenic spacer; may also contain 16S ribosomal RNA and 23S ribosomal RNA". The stretch from base 305 to 377 matches the Rfam family "tRNA". The record is from RNAcentral. Lineage: Bacteria; Bacillati; Cyanobacteriota; Cyanophyceae; Synechococcales; Prochlorococcaceae.
UUGUGGAGGAGGACGCCGAAGGUGGGGCUAAUGACUGGGGUGAAGUCGUAACAAGGUAGCCGUACCGGAAGGUGCGGCUGGAUCACCUCCUAACAGGGAGACAACAAAAUGUUUAAUAUUAUUAUUUUGUCACCUUAGGUCGAUCGGUAUCUCACAUUUUUGAUUUAUCAAGAAUUUCAUUUCCUAAGUUUUUCUAGGUCACACCCAUUAUUUUUCCUGGGCCAUUAGCUCAGGUGGUUAGAGCGCACCCCUGAUAAGGGUGAGGUCCCUGGUUCAAGUCCAGGAUGGCCCAUAUCUCUAUGUUGGGGGUAUAGCUCAGUUGGUAGAGCGCCUGCUUUGCAAGCAGGAUGUCAGCGGUUCGAGUCCGCUUACCUCCACUGAUUACCACCUCUUCCAUAUUUUUUAGAAAGGAAAAUUUUGAGUUGUGAUCAAUUUCUGAACGAAUCUAGCUUCCUAAUGUAACCAUUAAGAUGCUGGACUCAUUGAAUUAAUUUCUUUGUUUUCAGAGAACCUUGACAACUGCAUAGAUUAUUUUUUUAAAGACAAUAAGCAUCUUUAAUGAUGCAGAUUUAUUAUUUGUGCUAAUGCAUUAAUAACAAUUCUAUUAAGCUGAUGCUUCAAUUUUGAAGUUAUUGGUCAAGCUACAA